This 305-nucleotide unclassified non-coding RNA is filed under the name plant metagenome. RNAcentral describes it as "partial contains 5.8S ribosomal RNA, internal transcribed spacer 2, and large subunit ribosomal RNA". The stretch from base 1 to 105 matches the Rfam family "5.8S ribosomal RNA", at positions 50 to 154 of the family's 154-position model. The record is from RNAcentral.
GAAAUGCGAUAAGUAGUGUGAAUUGCAGAAUUCAGUGAAUCAUCGAAUCUUUGAACGCACAUUGCGCCCCUUGGUAUUCCAUGGGGCAUGCCUGUUCGAGCGUCAUUUGUACCCUCAAGCUCUGCUUGGUGUUGGGUGCCUGUCCCGCCUCCGCGCGCGGACUCACCUCAAAUCCAUUGGCGGCCCCCGCGUCGGCCACGAGCGCAGCAGAAACGCGAACUCGUGAGCCCGUCCGGGCGGCUCCCAGAAGCUACACCCACCCAGUUUGACCUCGGAUCAGGUAGGGAUACCCGCUGAACUUAAGC